This 518-nucleotide ribosomal RNA is filed under the name uncultured bacterium. RNAcentral's name for it is "partial 16S ribosomal RNA". It matches the Rfam family "Bacterial small subunit ribosomal RNA", at positions 30 to 507 of the family's 1533-position model. The record is from RNAcentral.
CGAACGCUGGCGGCGUGCCUAAUACAUGCAAGUCGAACGCACUCUCGUUUAGAUUGAAGGAGUUUGCUCCUGAUUGAUAAACAUUUGAGUGAGUGGCGGACGGGUGAGUAACACGUUGGUAACCUGCCCUAAAGUGGGGGAUAAAAUUUGGAAACAGAUGCUAAUACCGCAUAAAACCUAACACCGCAUGGUGUAGGGUUGAAAGAUGGUUUCGGCUAUCACUUUAGGAUGGACCCGCGGUGCAUUAGUUAGUUGGUGAGGUAAAGGCUCACCAAGACCGUGAUGCAUAGCCGACCUGAGAGGGUAAUCGGCCACACUGGGACUGAGACACGGCCCAGACUCCUACGGGAGGCAGCAGUAGGGAAUCUUCCACAAUGGACGAAAGUCUGAUGGAGCAACGCCGCGUGAGUGAAGAAGGUUUUCGGAUCGUAAAACUCUGUUGUUGGAGAAGAAUGUAUCUGAUAGUAACUGAUCAGGUAGUGACGGUAUCCAACCAGAAAGCCACGGCUAACUACGUG